RNAcentral lists this unclassified non-coding RNA (205 nucleotides) under Hevea brasiliensis (rubber tree). Lineage: Eukaryota; Viridiplantae; Streptophyta; Magnoliopsida; Malpighiales; Euphorbiaceae. The record is from RNAcentral.
AGAAAUUUGUGGCACAAUUAAUCGCAUAGUAUCUGGCUUGACAUCAGUCAACUUCAGUAAUUCAUCUCCUAGGUCCUUGAGAGAUGCAUCAGGGUUCAUUUCUACAGCAUACUUGUUCCCCCUCCAUAUCACUGUUAUAUUGAGUACGCUUUCUGUUUUUUGCAUGUUGUGCUUUGUAAGAAUUCCCUGCGUAGAGAAAAAAGAU